This 390-nucleotide ribosomal RNA is filed under the name uncultured bacterium. RNAcentral's name for it is "bacterial SSU rRNA". It matches the Rfam family "Bacterial small subunit ribosomal RNA", at positions 30 to 417 of the family's 1533-position model. The record is from RNAcentral.
AUUGAACGCUGGCGGCAGGCCUAACACAUGCAAGUCGAGCGGAUGAAAGGGGCUUGCUCCUGGAUUCAGCGGCGGACGGGUGAGUAAUACGCAGGAAUCUACCUAGUAGUGGGGGAUAACGGUUUCGAAAGGGGCGCGUAAUACCGCAUACGUUCUGAGGAAGAAAGCAGGGGAUCGCAAGACCUUGCGCUAUUAGAUGAGCUUGCGUCCGAUUAGCUAGUUGGUGGGUAAAGGCCGUACCAGGGCGACGAUCGGUAACUGGUCUGAGAGGAUGAUCAGUCACACUGGAACUGAGACACGGUCCAGACUCCUACGGGAGGCAGCAGUGGGGAAUAUUGGACAAUGGGGGCAACCCGUGAUCCAGCCAUGCCGCGUGUGUGAAGAAGGGCC